AACGAACGCUGGCGGCAUGCCUAACACAUGCAAGUCGAACGAGACCGUCGGGUCUAGUGGCGCACGGGGGCGUAACGCGGGGGAACCUGCCCGUAGGUUCGGAAUAACUCCCUGAAAGGGGUCUUAAUACCGGAGAAGGUCUUCGGACCAAAGAUUUAUCGCUUUUGGAUGGGCCCGGGUUGGUUUAGCUAGUUGGUAGGGUAAAAGCAUACCAAGGCGACGUUCCAUAGCUGGUCUGAUAGGAUGCUCCGCCACGCUGGGAAUGAGACACGGCCUAGAAUGCUACGGGACGGAGCAGUAGGGAAUAUUGGGCGCUGGGCGCAAGUGUGAUCCAGCCGUGCCGGGUAAGUGGUGCAGGCGUUAGGAUUCUACAGCUCUUUUAGCCGGGAUGAUAGUGACAGUAACGGGAGAAUAAGCACCGGCUAACUACGUG
Molecule: ribosomal RNA, 433 nt
Filed under: uncultured bacterium
Lineage: Bacteria
Description: partial 16S ribosomal RNA
Rfam family: Bacterial small subunit ribosomal RNA
Source: RNAcentral